This 73-nucleotide transfer RNA is filed under the name Ipomoea nil (Japanese morning glory). It matches the Rfam family "tRNA". Rfam says of the family: Transfer RNA (tRNA) molecules are approximately 80 nucleotides in length. Their secondary structure includes four short double-helical elements and three loops (D, anti-codon, and T loops). The record is from Rfam by way of RNAcentral. Lineage: Eukaryota; Viridiplantae; Streptophyta; Magnoliopsida; Solanales; Convolvulaceae.
GUCUGGUGGUGUAGUUGGUUAUCACACUAGUCUUAUAGACUGGAGGUCCCAAUUUCAAACUUGGGCUCAGACA